AACGCUAAUACCGCAUACGUCCUACGGGAGAAAGCAGGGGACCUUCGGGCCUUGCGCUAUCAGAUGAGCCUAGGUCGGAUUAGCUAGUUGGUGGGGUAAUGGCUCACCAAGGCGACGAUCCGUAACUGGUCUGAGAGGAUGAUCAGUCACACUGGAACUGAGACACGGUCCAGACUCCUACGGGAGGCAGCAGUGGGGAAUAUUGGACAAUGGGCGAAAGCCUGAUCCAGCCAUGCCGCGUGUGUGAAGAAGGUCUUCGGAUUGUAAAGCACUUUAAGUUGGGAGGAAGGGCAGUAAGUUAAUACCUUGCUGUUUUGACGUUACCGACAGAAUAAGCACCGGCUAACUCUGUGCCAGCAGCCGCGGUAAUACAGAGGGUGCAAGCGUUAAUCGGAAUUACUGGGCGUAAAGCGCGCGUAGGUGGUUUGUUAAGUUGGAUGUGAAAGCCCCGGGCUCAACCUGGGAACUGCAUCCAAAACUGGCAAGCUAGAGUACGGUAGAGGGUGGUGGAAUUUCCUGUGUAGCGGUGAAAUGCGUAGAUAUAGGAAGGAACACCAGUGGCGAAGGCGACCACCUGGACUGAUACUGACACUGAGGUGCGAAAGCGUGGGGAGC
RNAcentral lists this ribosomal RNA (615 nucleotides) under Pseudomonas sp. RNAcentral describes it as "bacterial SSU rRNA". It matches the Rfam family "Bacterial small subunit ribosomal RNA", at positions 159 to 769 of the family's 1533-position model. Lineage: Bacteria; Pseudomonadati; Pseudomonadota; Gammaproteobacteria; Pseudomonadales; Pseudomonadaceae. The record is from RNAcentral.